This 460-nucleotide long non-coding RNA is filed under the name Oryctolagus cuniculus (rabbit). RNAcentral describes it as "lncRNA (ENSOCUG00000038621.1)". The record is from RNAcentral. Lineage: Eukaryota; Metazoa; Chordata; Mammalia; Lagomorpha; Leporidae.
CUCCAGAGCAGUCUAGGUGCCGCCGCACCGCUGGAGCCCAGCCCACGCCAGCCGCGGCCGGCCGCCGCCGACAGCCUCAGCAGUUGCCUACCGUCACGCGCAGACACAGCUCUCGCCGCCCCCGGCUGCGGCAGCCGACCAAUUCACUCUCGCCGACCCACCUCGCUCUCUCGGCUGUCCGCCCAGCCCCCGCCGGCCCCACCCCUCCUCCCUCGCGCGCCCCGCCCGCCUCAAACUCCAGCAAACAAGACGCACCAUUCACAACUCCGCGGCCCACGCCGCGCAUGCGCCGCCAGCCAGCCUGCGGGGUGGAUGGGCUGCGGCUAGCCCAGCCAUCUGGAACUUCUGGGCUCACCCGCCGCGGAGAGUAACCCUAGGCUGUCUACUGAAUCCGAAGAAACCCAAGUCCUUGGGGACUUUGUGUCCCCGGAUCGAUGGCGAGGGGUUUAGGUUGUCUUGA